Molecule: non-coding RNA, 492 nt
Organism: Paramuricea clavata
Lineage: Eukaryota; Metazoa; Cnidaria; Anthozoa; Malacalcyonacea; Plexauridae
Source: the annotation of a GenBank genome assembly
AACAAUUACAAGCAUGAUCCAAUAAAAAAGUUUAGGGUCGGGAUUUCGACGUCCGAAAGCUAGAUAGGGUCGGGAAACCGGAAACCCACAUAUUUUUUUUUGGCCAGGUUAUAAAUGAAAACGUAGCUAUUGUAUGGUUACUCUAGCGCAAAUACAAUACACACCUGACGAUGAACCGACCAUUUCUUGCAUAGACCAAGACUAUGUGUUGUGAAAGAAAGAGUAUGUCGAAAAAGGCCAUGUAUUUUGGAGAGCAGAACUUGUUUAGGCUGGCUUGGAAAAUCUACGGGGUUUUACUGUAUAUAUCACUAAACUUUAUUCGCCUCUUGGAAGUACUUAUCUUUAAACAACCCUUCAGAAACAAUAGUCAGUGAAUUCACAUAAAACACCCCAUACGACUAGUCGAAUGUUUUAACUGUUGGCGUGAUUAUGAGCAGUGAAAGAGAUAUCAAUAACGUGGCAGUUUAAACCGGCUACGACGUACUAGGAAAU